This is a long non-coding RNA of Homo sapiens (human), 318 nucleotides long. RefSeq lists it as uncharacterized. The transcript has 3 exons. The record is from RefSeq and is a predicted model, not a curated record. NCBI's taxonomy places the organism in Eukaryota, Metazoa, Chordata, Mammalia, Primates, Hominidae.
AACACAUGAUUUUCUCUUCCUGAAGCAUGGGACCGAUAUUGUAGCUUACCCUCCAGGGCAGGAUAAUUUGCUCAUUGUGGAUUAGUUGCCUUCAGCAGAUGAAAACUCCUGAAAACAAUGGAAAUCAAGGAGUCAGAAUGAACGUCAAUGCCAUUGUUUUCAAUAAGCCUCACAAAUCAAGCAUGGAAAAGAGAUUGCUGGUUUAUAAUAUUUACAUUCUGUUCUGCAACAAUCAUUCCCCUAGCUGCAGAGAGAGCCGCAAUAAUGUUCAUCAAGCAUCAUUGCUGCAUAAUUCAGUGUGGUAAGAUUUGUGGUGAU